AGCUUAAGCCACAACUCCCUGAGCAGGCCUGAUCUUGAUUGAUCUCAGAUGUUAAGCAGGGUCGGCCUGUUUAGUACUUGGAUUGGAAACUGCCUGGGAUGGCUUUUUGGGGUGGCUGUAGCUC
This 124-nucleotide ribosomal RNA is filed under the name Amphilophus citrinellus (Midas cichlid). Lineage: Eukaryota; Metazoa; Chordata; Actinopteri; Cichliformes; Cichlidae. The record is from RNAcentral.